This 781-nucleotide ribosomal RNA is filed under the name Staphylococcus aureus. RNAcentral's name for it is "partial 23S ribosomal RNA". It matches the Rfam family "Bacterial large subunit ribosomal RNA", at positions 513 to 1301 of the family's 2925-position model. Lineage: Bacteria; Bacillati; Bacillota; Bacilli; Caryophanales; Staphylococcaceae. The record is from RNAcentral.
GGUGAAAAGCACCCCGGAAGGGGAGUGAAAUAGAACCUGAAACCGUGUGCUUACAAGUAGUCAGAGCCCGUUAAUGGGUGAUGGCGUGCCUUUUGUAGAAUGAACCGGCGAGUUACGAUUUGAUGCAAGGUUAAGCAGUAAAUGUGGAGCCGUAGCGAAAGCGAGUCUGAAUAGGGCGUUUAGUAUUUGGUCGUAGACCCGAAACCAGGUGAUCUACCCUUGGUCAGGUUGAAGUUCAGGUAACACUGAAUGGAGGACCGAACCGACUUACGUUGAAAAGUGAGCGGAUGAACUGAGGGUAGCGGAGAAAUUCCAAUCGAACCUGGAGAUAGCUGGUUCUCUCCGAAAUAGCUUUAGGGCUAGCCUCAAGUGAUGAUUAUUGGAGGUAGAGCACUGUUUGGACGAGGGGCCCCUCUCGGGUUACCGAAUUCAGACAAACUCCGAAUGCCAAUUAAUUUAACUUGGGAGUCAGAACAUGGGUGAUAAGGUCCGUGUUCGAAAGGGAAACAGCCCAGACCACCAGCUAAGGUCCCAAAAUAUAUGUUAAGUGGAAAAGGAUGUGGCGUUGCCCAGACAACUAGGAUGUUGGCUUAGAAGCAGCCAUCAUUUAAAGAGUGCGUAAUAGCUCACUAGUCGAGUGACACUGCGCCGAAAAUGUACCGGGGCUAAACAUAUUACCGAAGCUGUGGAUUGUCCUUUGGACAAUGGUAGGAGAGCGUUCUAAGGGCGUUGAAGCAUGAUCGUAAGGACAUGUGGAGCGCUUAGAAGUGAGAAUGCCGGU